Molecule: ribosomal RNA, 2900 nt
Filed under: Escherichia coli
Lineage: Bacteria; Pseudomonadati; Pseudomonadota; Gammaproteobacteria; Enterobacterales; Enterobacteriaceae
Description: 23S ribosomal RNA
Rfam family: Bacterial large subunit ribosomal RNA
Source: RNAcentral
GGUUAAGCGACUAAGCGUACACGGUGGAUGCCCUGGCAGUCAGAGGCGAUGAAGGACGUGCUAAUCUGCGAUAAGCGUCGGUAAGGUGAUAUGAACCGUUAUAACCGGCGAUUUCCGAAUGGGGAAACCCAGUGUGUUUCGACACACUAUCAUUAACUGAAUCCAUAGGUUAAUGAGGCGAACCGGGGGAACUGAAACAUCUAAGUACCCCGAGGAAAAGAAAUCAACCGAGAUUCCCCCAGUAGCGGCGAGCGAACGGGGAGGAGCCCAGAGCCUGAAUCAGUGUGUGUGUUAGUGGAAGCGUCUGGAAAGGCGCGCGAUACAGGGUGACAGCCCCGUACACAAAAAUGCACAUGCUGUGAGCUCGAUGAGUAGGGCGGGACACGUGGUAUCCUGUCUGAAUAUGGGGGGACCAUCCUCCAAGGCUAAAUACUCCUGACUGACCGAUAGUGAACCAGUACCGUGAGGGAAAGGCGAAAAGAACCCCGGCGAGGGGAGUGAAAAGAACCUGAAACCGUGUACGUACAAGCAGUGGGAGCACGCUUAGGCGUGUGACUGCGUACCUUUUGUAUAAUGGGUCAGCGACUUAUAUUCUGUAGCAAGGUUAACCGAAUAGGGGAGCCGAAGGGAAACCGAGUCUUAACUGGGCGUUAAGUUGCAGGGUAUAGACCCGAAACCCGGUGAUCUAGCCAUGGGCAGGUUGAAGGUUGGGUAACACUAACUGGAGGACCGAACCGACUAAUGUUGAAAAAUUAGCGGAUGACUUGUGGCUGGGGUGAAAGGCCAAUCAAACCGGGAGAUAGCUGGUUCUCCCCGAAAGCUAUUUAGGUAGCGCCUCGUGAAUUCAUCUCCGGGGGUAGAGCACUGUUUCGGCAAGGGGGUCAUCCCGACUUACCAACCCGAUGCAAACUGCGAAUACCGGAGAAUGUUAUCACGGGAGACACACGGCGGGUGCUAACGUCCGUCGUGAAGAGGGAAACAACCCAGACCGCCAGCUAAGGUCCCAAAGUCAUGGUUAAGUGGGAAACGAUGUGGGAAGGCCCAGACAGCCAGGAUGUUGGCUUAGAAGCAGCCAUCAUUUAAAGAAAGCGUAAUAGCUCACUGGUCGAGUCGGCCUGCGCGGAAGAUGUAACGGGGCUAAACCAUGCACCGAAGCUGCGGCAGCGACGCUUAUGCGUUGUUGGGUAGGGGAGCGUUCUGUAAGCCUGUGAAGGUGUGCUGUGAGGCAUGCUGGAGGUAUCAGAAGUGCGAAUGCUGACAUAAGUAACGAUAAAGCGGGUGAAAAGCCCGCUCGCCGGAAGACCAAGGGUUCCUGUCCAACGUUAAUCGGGGCAGGGUGAGUCGACCCUAAGGCGAGGCCGAAAGGCGUAGUCGAUGGGAAACAGGUUAAUAUUCCUGUACUUGGUGUUACUGCGAAGGGGGACGGAGAAGGCUAUGUUGGUAGGGCGACGGUUGUCCCGGUUUAAGCGUGUAGGCUGGUUUUCCGUGCAAAUCCGGAAAAUCAAGGCUGAGGCGUGAUGACGAGGCACUACGGUGCUGAAGCAACAAAUGCCCUGCUUCCGUGAAAAGCCUCUAAGCAUCAGGUAACAUCAAAUCGUACCCCAAACCGACACAGGUGGUCAGGUAGAGAAUACCAAGGCGCUUGAGAGAACUCGGGUGAAGGAACUAGGCAAAAUGGUGCCGUAACUUCGGGAGAAGGCACGCUGAUAUGUAGGUGAAGUCCCUCGCGGAUGGAGCUGAAAUCAGUCGAAGAUACCAGCUGGCUGCAACUGUUUAUUAAAAACACAGCACUGUGCAAACACGAAAGUGGACGUAUACGGUGUGACGCCUGCCCGGUGCCGGAAGGUUAAUUGAUGGGGUCAGCGCAAGCGAAGCUCUUGAUCGAAGCCCCGGUAAACGGCGGUAGUAACUAUAACGGUCCUAAGGUAGCGAAAUUCCUUGUCGGGUAAGUUCCGACCUGCACGAAUGGCGUAAUGAUGGCCAGGCUGUCUCCACCCGAGACUCAGUGAAAUUGAACUCGCUGUGAAGAUGCAGUGUACCCGCGGCAAGACGGAAAGACCCCGUGAACCUUUACUAUAGCUUGACACUGAACAUUGAGCCUUGAUGUGUAGGAUAGGUGGGAGGCUUAGAAGUGUGGACGCCAGUCUGCAUGGAGCCGACCUUGAAAUACCACCCUUUAAUGUUUGAUGUUCUAACGUUGACCCGUAAUCCGGGUUGCGGACAGUGUCUGGUGGGUAGUUUGACUGGGGCGGUCUCCUCCUAAAGAGUAACGGAGGAGCACGAAGGUUGGCUAAUCCUGGUCGGACAUCAGGAGGUUAGUGCAAUGGCAUAAGCCAGCUUGACUGCGAGCGUGACGGCGCGAGCAGGUGCGAAAGCAGGUCAUAGUGAUCCGGUGGUUCUGAAUGGAAGGGCCAUCGCUCAACGGAUAAAAGGUACUCCGGGGAUAACAGGCUGAUACCGCCCAAGAGUUCAUAUCGACGGCGGUGUUUGGCACCUCGAUGUCGGCUCAUCACAUCCUGGGGCUGAAGUAGGUCCCAAGGGUAUGGCUGUUCGCCAUUUAAAGUGGUACGCGAGCUGGGUUUAGAACGUCGUGAGACAGUUCGGUCCCUAUCUGCCGUGGGCGCUGGAGAACUGAGGGGGGCUGCUCCUAGUACGAGAGGACCGGAGUGGACGCAUCACUGGUGUUCGGGUUGUCAUGCCAAUGGCACUGCCCGGUAGCUAAAUGCGGAAGAGAUAAGUGCUGAAAGCAUCUAAGCACGAAACUUGCCCCGAGAUGAGUUCUCCCUGACUCCUUGAGAGUCCUGAAGGAACGUUGAAGACGACGACGUUGAUAGGCCGGGUGUGUAAGCGCAGCGAUGCGUUGAGCUAACCGGUACUAAUGAACCGUGAGGCUUAACCUU